Molecule: long non-coding RNA, 331 nt
Organism: Dermacentor silvarum
Lineage: Eukaryota; Metazoa; Arthropoda; Arachnida; Ixodida; Ixodidae
Exons: 3
Source: RefSeq, a predicted model, not a curated record
GUGCACGCGGCAUAACUUUGUGCUGGUGAAAGACGACGGAAGCUACUCAGCGGUGAACAACCUGGCAAAACUAAUUGUUCAUUCGUUUGGCAUCGAUAUGGACGGUGUUGGCGCUGCUGGCUGCUGUCGGAGAGGUGAUGGAUUUCUUAUGGGAACAGAACUUCGCCUGCCACUAGCUUUCUCGGAAUGCACCAGCAGUCUUCUUCCAGCAGCAUUAAGGAAGCUGACAUGCUUGGAAAAAGUAUCUUCUUCAAGAGAAGUAAAGAAUCUUCCUUUGCCGCCGCUUAUUUCAAGAGUGGCGUACUGUUCUGCUUUGAGCUCUGUUCACUGU